AGAGAUGUAACAUAAUAUAUAUAUAUACAUAUAUGAGGGGUUGGGGGAGUCCUGUCGCAGGAGCGGUGGCACCUCCGGCCUCUGUGUAGAAAAGAUGCCGCAAGUGCCAUCAUCCUAUGACAAGACACACCUGUAACUUCUCUCUUCUCAAGAAAUAUUUUACUGGAGUUCCAACUUUAUGCUUUUUGUUUCCUUUGGCUGUAUGCAAUGUAAGUAGCUAGUCUCUCUUUGGUUGCUGAUCAGAAGAACAUCAAUUUCUUCUUCUUCUUCUACUUGCUCCCGGCCUUUGUAUGAUCUUCUUCUUGUAAAAUGUGUACACAUAUACCAUCUUCUUGGAAAAUUGUUUUCUCUCUAUCCGUGCUUUCUGCUAUUGUUAUUUUAAUGAUCUGCUUUGUUAUUGGAAAAUACAAUAUGACAUUUGUUUUUCAUUUCUUUGUUACAGCUCUUAUUUAUUAUUGCAAUGUACAGUGAAGGUAAGAAUUAGCCUUAAUCAAACUAUACUCUUUCAAAUUAAAUCUUAUAGUCUCUAAUUUCUAUUAGUUCCUUUGUAGCUGCUUGCCUGCAUCAUUAUCUCCUCCCAGUUGCAAAUGCUUUAUUUUAUGUUAAACAUAGUUUACUUGUAUUUCUGAUUGUUUCUUUGAAGGUAUGUAUAGUUGCUUCAAUAGGUAAAACUUAUUUAUUUUAUUACUGGUUUUGCACCAAUAGUUUAUCUACUGAUAUAUAUUAUAUAUAGAUUGAUUUCUUGACUUUGUCAAGCUAGAUUAUCCGUCUUCAGAUAUAUAUUUUUGAAUUUGAUCAAUCCAGCUUGAAGAUAUGGUUGGCUGUCAAAGAAGAUAUUGGAAUUGAUGGCUAAGACUUAAUUCAUCAUUUUGUAUUACGUUUCAUUUCAUCAUCCACGUGAUGUCAAAUGGAUGAGAUUUAUAUAUAUACAAGAGUUUCUGAAAAUGUUUUUUUAUUUUUAUUUUUAUUAUUAUGUUUUAGAUUAAAGUUAAUUAAUCAUUAUUUGUGUACUAUCUGUUGACAACUUAUGCUAUUAACAAAUUAUGAAAUCAUAUAUGGAAGUUAAUUAAUAGUAAAUUGAUGUGAUAUCGAGAUGAUUAAGCCUCUCUAAAAGAUUUAAAUUUGUUUAGUACUAUAUAUACAUAUAAUUUAAUCACCUAUUUUUUUUAUUACAGCUAUUUUCUAAUAAACAAAUACACAUAAGGUUGGCGUUUAAGGUUGUGAUUAAGUUAAUUUAAACACUUGAAUCAGAUAAAGAGACAGAAGGAUUCUACCGUCCAAGUGGCUACCUGCCAGACAUAUGUAGACUACUAUCAAUUCCUCUUUAUGAUCUAGGAUGUGACUUUUUUUUUUCUUUUAAUUAGAAAUGUUAAUCAGUAAUUAAUUAGUGAGACAGUUAUUGAAAGGGGGAAAAACUAGAAAGGGGUAUAAAUUAGGGACUCUGUUUUUGGUCAGAUGGCAAUUACUGCUAAUUGCAAGAUUCCUUAAUCCCCGUCAGGGAAGAGAUGUCUUUUACCCUCUCUAUCUGUAUGCAAAGUAUUUUUCUUUAUUAGCUUGUAAUUACAAAUUUCGCAAGACAGACAAGACAGUCUAUCAACUAAAAAAAUUCAUCACUAUACUUUUUGCAGCGCCUGCGCCCUUCAGCAAUUUGGAAUCAAGUCGGUGCUUUGACUACACAAAAAAGCAUUAAAGCAAAUACCUGAUCAGUCCAUUUUUCAUGGAAAACAGAAAUCACAAUACUGUGGAAAUGUAGUGGAGUUGCAAGAUUAUAGAAGUUUCCAGGAACCAUGGUCAAGAACACUCGUUAUCAAAAUAAAACCUGACAACAUUAGCACCCAGGAAUUUCCAUGACGGGCAU
Molecule: long non-coding RNA, 1858 nt
Filed under: Ricinus communis (castor bean)
Lineage: Eukaryota; Viridiplantae; Streptophyta; Magnoliopsida; Malpighiales; Euphorbiaceae
Description: long non-coding RNA (RCOM_LNC000873)
Source: RNAcentral